Molecule: small RNA, 26 nt
Filed under: Bombyx mori (domestic silkworm)
Lineage: Eukaryota; Metazoa; Arthropoda; Insecta; Lepidoptera; Bombycidae
Description: ovarian small RNA-27650
Source: RNAcentral
UCCGUUUAGGUUUGAAUGGGGGGGUA